CCUACGGGGGGCAGCAGUGGGGGAUAUUGCACAAUGGGGGGAACCCUGAUGCAGCGACGCCGCGUGGGUGAAGGAGUGCUUCGGCAUGUAAAGCCCUAUCGGCAGGGAAGAAGCAAGACGGUACCUGACUAAGAAGCCCCGGCUAACUACGUGCCAGCAGCCGCGGUAAUACGUAGGGGGCGAGCGUUACCCGGAUUCACUGGGUGUCAAGGGGGCGUAGACGGCCAUGCAAGCCAGGGGUGAAAGCCCGGGGCCCAACCCCGGGACUGCCCUUGGAACUGUGCGGCUAGAGUGCGGGAGGGGCAGGCGGAAUUCCUGGUGGAGCGGUGAAAUGCGUAGAUAUCAGGAGGAACACCGGCGGCGAAGGCGGCCUGCUGGACCGCGACUGACGUUGAGGCUCGAAAGCGUGGGGAGCGAACAGGAUUAGAUACCCCAGUAGUC
Molecule: ribosomal RNA, 441 nt
Filed under: uncultured bacterium
Lineage: Bacteria
Description: partial 16S ribosomal RNA
Rfam family: Bacterial small subunit ribosomal RNA
Source: RNAcentral